GAUGAACGCUAGCUACAGGCUUAACACAUGCAAGUCGAGGGGCAGCAUGGUCUUAGCUUGCUAAGGCCGAUGGCGACCGGCGCACGGGUGAGUAACGCGUAUCCAACCUGCCUUACACUCUUGGACAGCCUUCUGAAAGGGAGAUUAAUACAAGAUGUUAUCAUGAGUAAGCAUUUUCGCAUGAUUAAAGGUUUACCGGUGUAAGAUGGGGAUGCGUUCCAUUAGAUAGUAGGCGGGGUAACGGCCCACCUAGUCUUCGAUGGAUAGGGGUUCUGAGAGGAAGGUCCCCCACAUUGGAACUGAGACACGGUCCAAACUCCUACGGGAGGCAGCAGUGAGGAAUAUUGGUCAAUGGACGAGAGUCUGAACCAGCCAAGUAGCGUGAAGGAUGAAGGUUCUAUGGAUUGUAAACUUCUUUUAUACGGGAAUAAACGAAUCCACGUGUGGAUUUUUGCAUGUACCGUAUGAAUAAGGAUCGGCUAACUCCGUGCCAGCAGCCGCGGUAAUACGGAGGAUCCGAGCGUUAUCCGGAUUUAUUGGGUUUAAAGGGAGCGUAGAUGGGUUGUUAAGUCAGUUGUGAAAGUUUGCGGCUCAACCGUAAAAUUGCAAUUGAUACUGGCAGUCUUGAGUACAGUUGAGGUAGGCGGAAUUCGUGGUGUAGCGGUGAAAUGCUUAGAUAUCACGAAGAACUCCGAUUGCGAAGGCAGCUUACUAACCUGUAACUGACAUUGAUGCUCGAAAGUGUGGGUAUCAAACAGGAUUAGAUACCCUGGUAGUCCACACGGUAAACGAUGAAUACUCGCUGUAGGCGAUAUACAGUCUGCGGCCAAGCGAAAGCAUUAAGUAUUCCACCUGGGGAGUACGCCGGCAACGGUGAAACUCAAAGGAAUUGACGGGGGCCCGCACAAGCGGAGGAACAUGUGGUUUAAUUCGAUGAUACGCGAGGAACCUUACCCGGGCUUAAAUUGCAACCGAAUAUGGCGGAAACGCUAUAGCUAGCAAUAGCGGUUGUGAAGGUGCUGCAUGGUUGUCGUCAGCUCGUGCCGUGAGGUGUCGGCUUAAGUGCCAUAACGAGCGCAACCCUUGCCGAUAGUUACUAACAGGUUAUGCUGAGGACUCUGUCGGGACUGCCAUCGUAAGAUGUGAGGAAGGUGGGGAUGACGUCAAAUUAGCACGGCCCUUACGUCCGGGGCUACACACGUGUUACAAUGGGGGGGUACAGAGGGCUGCUACCACGCAAGUGGAUGCCAAUCCCAAAAACCUCUCUCAGUUCGGAUUGAAGUCUGCAACCCGACUUCAUGAAGCUGGAUUCGCUAGUAAUCGCGCAUCAGCCACGGCGCGGUGAAUACGUUCCCGGGCCU
This 1361-nucleotide ribosomal RNA is filed under the name uncultured bacterium. RNAcentral describes it as "bacterial SSU rRNA". It matches the Rfam family "Bacterial small subunit ribosomal RNA", at positions 28 to 1381 of the family's 1533-position model. The record is from RNAcentral.